UACGGAGGAUGCGAGCGUUAUCCGGAUUUAUUGGGUUUAAAGGGUGCGUAGGCGGGGCGACAAGUCGGCGGUCAAAUGUCGGGGCUCAACCCCGGCCUGCCGUCGAAACUGCCGUCCUUGAGUGGGCGAAAGGCGCGCGGAAUGCGUGGUGUAGCGGUGAAAUGCAUAGAUAUCACGCAGAACCCCGAUUGCGAAGGCAGCGCGCCGGCGCCCGACUGACGCUGAGGCACGAAAGCGUGGGUAUCGAA
This 248-nucleotide ribosomal RNA is filed under the name uncultured Muribaculaceae bacterium. RNAcentral's name for it is "partial 16S ribosomal RNA". It matches the Rfam family "Bacterial small subunit ribosomal RNA", at positions 524 to 772 of the family's 1533-position model. Lineage: Bacteria; Pseudomonadati; Bacteroidota; Bacteroidia; Bacteroidales; Muribaculaceae. The record is from RNAcentral.